AGUUUGACCUCAAAUCAGGUAGGAUUACCCGCUGAACUUAA
RNAcentral lists this ribosomal RNA (41 nucleotides) under Debaryomyces hansenii. RNAcentral's name for it is "partial 28S ribosomal RNA". Lineage: Eukaryota; Fungi; Ascomycota; Pichiomycetes; Serinales; Debaryomycetaceae. The record is from RNAcentral. RNAcentral also lists the same sequence under 2 other names.